RNAcentral lists this ribosomal RNA (452 nucleotides) under uncultured soil bacterium. Its description in RNAcentral is "bacterial SSU rRNA". It matches the Rfam family "Bacterial small subunit ribosomal RNA", at positions 26 to 518 of the family's 1533-position model. The record is from RNAcentral.
AGAGCGAACGCUGGCGGCAGGCCUAACACAUGCAAGUCGAACGGACUCUUCGGAGUUAGUGGCGGACGGGUGAGUAACACGUGGGAACGUGCCUUUAGGUUCGGAAUAGCUCCUGGAAACGGGUGGUAAUACCGAAUGUGCCCUUCGGGGGAAAGAUUUAUCGCCUUUAGAGCGGCCCGCGUCUGAUUAGCUUGUUGGUGAGGUAAUGGCUCACCAAGGCUACGAUCAGUAGCUGGUCUGAGAGGAUGACCAGCCACAUUGGGACUGAGACACGGCCCAAACUCCUACGGGAGGCAGCAGUGGGGAAUCUUGCGCAAUGGGCGAAAGCCUGACGCAGCCAUGCCGCGUGUAUGAUGAAGGUCUUAAGGAUUGUAAAAUACUUUCACCGGUGAAGAUAAAUGACUGUAGCCGGAAGAAGAAGCCCCGGCUAACUUCGUGCCGAAGCAGCCGAC